This 107-nucleotide small nuclear RNA is filed under the name Ovis aries (sheep). The record is from RNAcentral. Lineage: Eukaryota; Metazoa; Chordata; Mammalia; Artiodactyla; Bovidae.
GUGCUCACUUCGGCAGCACAUAUACUAAAAUUGGAAUGAUACAGAGAAGAUUAGUAUGGCCCCUGCACAAGGAUGACACACAAAUUCAUGAAGCAUUACAUAUUUUU